UUAUAUUAUAUUUCUAUUAUAAUGAUUUAGAAACACAAGUUGGUUUCAGUGAUUUCUUACACAAGUAUCAUAAAGAGAUUAAUUUUAUCAAAAGAAAGGUUCAUUGCAUCAUGAGGGAGAUUCAUUAUAUCAAGAGGAAAAAUAAAUUAAAUGUCUAUGGACAAGUCAAAUUGGUUAUUGGCACUUGAAAUGUUUCUUGAAAGAAAAUGAUUCAUUUUGAUUAUAAUUAAUGUAAUAUAUCUUUGGGAACUAUUUUAACCUCAUAUGCUGGGUCAUGAAAUAUAUAGAGUUUCUGUAAAGAGAUUUUUUGAGAGAAAUAUAGAAGAUUGAAACAUGUUCUACUCUUCCUCUAUUUGAUAACUUUAUCUCUUCCUCUUAUCGAGUUCAAUAUUUGGUAUCAGAGCAUAAGUUAAACUAUGGUCUCUUCCUCAAGGACCAUUCAACUCUAGAUCCCCAUAUUGACAAAAGAAAAAUAUGACAUAUGGUGCAUCCAAAUGAAGAUUUUUCUAGGCUCCUAAGAUGUAUGUGAGUUUGUAGAAAAUAGAUUUGUUGAACCAUAUCCAGCAGAAGAAGGAACAACGAAUGUAGAAGGAAGAAAACAACUCAAAGAAAGAAGGAAGAAUGAGAAAAUUGCCUUGUUCACGAUCUACCAAGGACGUGAUGAUACAAUGUUCGAGAUCAUUGCUCCAGCAAAUACUUCAAAGGAGGCUUGGGAAAUGCUUCAAAAAGCAUUUGGUGGUAUUGAUAAGGUAAUCUCCACAAAGUGGAGGAGAGUCGUGGCUCAUAUUUGUCUUCCUCCUCGACCGACGAAGAUGUUGUGCCCUCAUAAAUUCCAACACAAGGCAGCAGGCUCUCCGCCACCUCGCAUGUUUAAUUAGUCUUGACAUAAAAUAAGAAUGGGGAGUCUGAGUCUGCAAUCACUUGUUCCAGAUGAUGAGCUGAUGGUUCGCAAGUCUGUAAGCUAUCGUCCGAACGUUUGGGGCGACUACUUUAUCCAACAUGGUCAGUCCGUUACUCCAACAUCGGUAUGUAACCCGGCCAUCCUAUUUGCCAAAGAUGUUUCCAGUUUUCAGCAAGAUGGUCACCUGGAAAGAGGGGUGUUGAUAAUUUAGCUCCAGCUAAAUGGCACUCAUGCUUAAACUGGUCCUUCAUCGACAUAGUUGGGGUUUCCUGCGGUUUCAGUACCAUGAAAAAUCUCCCUUUUCUCGCCUAUUGCAGGAGGAGUGUGAGACAACGAUAAAAGAGAGAGUUGCGGAACUGAAGGAGCAGAUAAGAAGCAUGUCCAAGGAUCCUACUGACAUCUUGCAAACUAUGAAUUUGGUCGAUUCAAUCCAGCUUCUUGGAUUGGAUUAUUGCUUCGAGAAGGAAAUAAGUGAAGCGUUAAACCAUAUCUAUGAUGCCCAUAUUGACGACCAUGGUCUUUACGACCCUGCUCUCCGAUUUGGACUGCUGAGACAACAAGGAUAUUAUGUCUCCCCUGGUAACAUGUUCAUUUCCUUCAGUAGCUGGAUUUGUAUGUUUUGUCCUGAUAAUUGUGUUUUUACCUUGUCUUACAGACAAAAUUUGGACUUUGUUGGCACCAUUUACUCAAUCCAACUUGGCAAUACUAUAUCUACACGUAUCAAAGA
RNA transcript from Musa acuminata AAA Group (dessert banana), 1628 nucleotides. It is a transcript of the gene named alpha-humulene synthase-like, with no coding region annotated. Lineage: Eukaryota; Viridiplantae; Streptophyta; Magnoliopsida; Zingiberales; Musaceae. The transcript has 2 exons. The record is from RefSeq and is a predicted model, not a curated record.